GAGGAACGUGAAGCAAUAGAACGUUUUGAAGAAAUGGGUUUUGAUCGGGCAAUUGCAUCAAAAGUGUUCUUUUCAGGCAACAAGAAUCAGGCGCUAGCUGCCAACUACCUUCUAGAUCAUAGUCGUUUUAGGAUUAAUUGAUUUUAUAUAUAUUUUCAUUGGAAAUACUCUCAAUCCUCAGCAAAAAUGCCAGGAAAUUAUAUUUUUUCCCCGAUUAUAUAUAUUCUCCUCAACUACAAUGAAGUUUGGAAUCUAGAGUUCUACAAUGAGUGAAGUUUCUAG
Molecule: unclassified non-coding RNA, 282 nt
Filed under: Hevea brasiliensis (rubber tree)
Lineage: Eukaryota; Viridiplantae; Streptophyta; Magnoliopsida; Malpighiales; Euphorbiaceae
Source: RNAcentral